UGGGGAAUUUUGCACAAUGGGGGAAACCCUGAUGCAGCGACGCCGCGUGAUUUAGAAGGCCUUCGGGUUGUAAAAAUCUUUUCUAUGGGAAGAAAAUGACAGUACCAUAGGAAUAAGGACCGGCUAAUUACGUGCCAGCAGCCGCGGUAAUACGGAGGGGGCUAGCGUUGUUCGGAAUUACUGGGCGUAAAGCGCACGUAGGCGGCUUUGUAAGUUAGAGGUGAAAGCCCGGGGCUCAACUCCGGAAUUGGCUUUAAGACUGCAUCGCUAGAAUUGUGGAGAGGUAAGUGAAAUUCCGAGUGUAGAGGUGAAAUUCGUAGAUAUUCGGAAGAACACCAGUGGCGAAGGCGACUUACUGGACACAUAUUGACGCUGAGGUGCGAAAGCGUGGGGAGCAAACAGG
This 403-nucleotide ribosomal RNA is filed under the name bacterium. Its description in RNAcentral is "partial 16S ribosomal RNA". It matches the Rfam family "Bacterial small subunit ribosomal RNA", at positions 355 to 776 of the family's 1533-position model. The record is from RNAcentral.